GACAACCGGCCAGACAUAAAUAUCACCGGAUAAACGAAUAAAACUACCAACUAGACCAAUGGCUAAGCAUACAUGUCAUUAGUGUUUUGAGAUUUUUUAUUAUCCAAUUACAAAUGCCGAAUGCACAAUGAAAUGAACCGAAUGGUCAUCAAGCUAUAGAUGAGCGUUUGUUCAUUGUCUCUUUCUUCAUAAUUUAUUGGCACAUGUUCCGAUUAUAUUUUCGCAUUUCUUAUUUCUGGAUCUGUCUUAUUCACGUUCAUUUUUUCGUAUGUCGCCUGGAUAAUCCAACCCAAUAUUGGAAAAAUCGAUAACAAAGUUGUGAUCAUUUGUGGCCAAAGUUGACUAACCCCAACAUUCGGUUCGGCAACCUAUCGAUUGAGAAUGAGAUUGCUUUUGUUGGCCUAAUGCAUUGCUAUCUGGUGUGCUGUAAAGCUUCUGUGAACCAACCGAUCAUGACGAUCAGAAAAUUUAUGAGCUUCGACCGAAUGAAUUUUAAUCGAUUAUGACCCUCGAAGUAGCCCUUGAUGAGCAUACAGAGAUGGGACACACAGUCAAUCUAGCAGGAUUGUUGCUACAUUCGUGUGUGUAGGUUUAUGCAACAUAACAUUCCGAACAUCAUCAUCAUCCGAAUGCAUCAUACUGCAUUUGGUGUGAUGAUGAUGAUGGAAACGGCGAGCAUAAUAAUAAAUUUUUCAAAAGCUUUAGCUUCAGUACAUUCAGAGAGAAUCACCACAUCGACAUGUCCACAUGAUCAACAUAUAUGUGUUCACUUCAUUCAACGAAAAAAAGGAUUUUAUUCAACUUCACAUUGCUUUUAGCUUUUCCUAAAUAAACUUUAAAUUAGGCUCAAUUCAAAAUGAUUCGAACCUGAAGAUUAUAAUUA
This is a non-coding RNA of Dermatophagoides farinae (American house dust mite), 883 nucleotides long. Lineage: Eukaryota; Metazoa; Arthropoda; Arachnida; Sarcoptiformes; Pyroglyphidae. The record is from RefSeq and is a predicted model, not a curated record.